Molecule: non-coding RNA, 123 nt
Organism: Gossypium arboreum
Lineage: Eukaryota; Viridiplantae; Streptophyta; Magnoliopsida; Malvales; Malvaceae
Source: Rfam
CGUAGGAGGAUGAUAAAUCAGAUUUUUCCUCUUGAUUUUCAGCAUUUUUCUCUGAAAAAAAUUCAAAUUCAACUGAAAAUGCUAAAAAUCAGGAAGAAAAAUCUGAUUUGUCAUUCUCCUAUU